GACGAACGCUGGCGGCGUGCCUAACACAUGCAAGUCGAGCGGAGCCAACUAGACAAUCCCUUCGGGGUGCGUCUGGGGAAGCUUAGCGGCGGACGGGUGAGUAACGCGUGAGUAACCUGCCUUACAGAGGGGGACAACAGUUGGAAACGACUGCUAAUACCGCAUAAUGUCUAACUGAGGCAUCUCGGAUAGACCAAAGGAGCAAUCCGCUGUAAGAUGGACUCGCGUCCAAUUAGAUAGUUGGUGGGGUAACGGCCCACCAAGUCGACGAUUGGUAGCCGGACUGAGAGGUUGAACGGCCACAUUGGGACUGAGACACGGCCCAGACUCCUACGGGAGGCAGCAGUGGGGGAUAUUGCACAAUGGGGGAAACCCUGAUGCAGCAACGCCGCGUGAAAGGAAGAAGGGUCUUCGGGAUUGUAAAACUUCUGUUUUUAGUGAAGAAACAAAUGACGGUAGCUAAAGAGGAAGCCACGGCUAACUACGUGCCAGCAGCCGCGGU
Molecule: ribosomal RNA, 502 nt
Filed under: uncultured bacterium
Lineage: Bacteria
Description: bacterial SSU rRNA
Rfam family: Bacterial small subunit ribosomal RNA
Source: RNAcentral